UACGGAGGGUGCAAGCGUUAUCCGGAUUCACUGGGUUUAAAGGGUGCGUAGGUGGGUUGGUUAAGUCAGUGGUGAAAUCUCCGGGCUUAACCUGGAAACUGCCAUUGAUACUAUCAAUCUUGAAUACCUUGGAGGUGAGCGGAAUAUGUCAUGUAGCGGUGAAAUGCUUAGAUAUUGACAUAGAACACCAAUUGCGAAGGCAGCUCACUACACGGUCAUUGACACUGAGGCACGAAAGCGUGGGGAUCAAACAGG
RNAcentral lists this ribosomal RNA (255 nucleotides) under uncultured bacterium. RNAcentral's name for it is "partial 16S ribosomal RNA". It matches the Rfam family "Bacterial small subunit ribosomal RNA", at positions 524 to 776 of the family's 1533-position model. The record is from RNAcentral.